Molecule: ribosomal RNA, 248 nt
Filed under: uncultured bacterium
Lineage: Bacteria
Description: partial 16S ribosomal RNA
Rfam family: Bacterial small subunit ribosomal RNA
Source: RNAcentral
CUGGCCGUAAACGAUGGAUGCUAGGUGCUGGCAGAUCUAACCCUGUCUGUGCCGAAGCUAACGCGUUAAGCAUCCCGCCUGGGAAGUACGAUCGCAAGAUUAAAACUCAAAGGAAUUGACGGGGACCCGCACAAGCAGCGGAGCGUGUGGUUUAAUUCGAUGCUACACGAAGAACCUUACCCAGGUUUGACAUACAGGUAGUAGUGAACCGAAAGGGGAACGACCCGCAAGGGAGCCUGAACAGGUGU